GUGGCCAUAAAAGAAGUAGCGUUGAGCACAUGCGGUCUUUCCAGCGUGAGGGCUCGGCGGGAAGCGGCGGUGGCGGCGACCCGGAGCCCCCGGCCCGAUCCGCGGCAGUGCCCGGCGUUGUGGGCCGCUAGAAGGCGGUGUUCCCUGUCCUGGGGAUUGCGGUAAGUGGGGCUGAGCCCUGUGGGGAAAUGCUCCUCAGCCCCCUGGGGAAAUGCUCCUGCUCUACGACCAGGCGGCUCUUAAAACACAAAGAAGCAUCUGCAAAAUGGGCUGGAGGAAAGAAUUCACCGACUUUUAUUCUCCCUCAUGGGUUAGCGCAAGGUGAAUAUCCUGCACGGUGGUGCGUGCAGUAGUGUGAGUAAGUGAAGGGAUUUGCACUCUUAACUCUAGUGCUGCAGUGUGUAGAUGGAGAAUUUAAAUUUUUUUUCUAUUUAGCUCUGUGGACGAUAACAAGCUACUCCCACUCUCAAGACCAGCCUUAAUUGUGAAUGUUUUAAUGUUGUAUUUCUACUUCAGCUUCUAUAUGAAGCAAAUUUUGUAGCUUACAGGUGAAUAAAAGUUUCGAAAAGUC
Molecule: long non-coding RNA, 571 nt
Organism: Passer domesticus (house sparrow)
Lineage: Eukaryota; Metazoa; Chordata; Aves; Passeriformes; Passeridae
Exons: 2
Source: RefSeq, a predicted model, not a curated record